GAACGAAUUACUACUUAAUCGUAACUGUUGUGGCGUGAUGCUUGAUUGUGAACCUAAUAACAUAGAAAUACUUAUUGGAUUAUACCUUCGAUGUCAUUCUGUGAUUUAUUUUAGUAUGUUAAUACCCCUCAUGAUGUUUAUUUUUUGCGAAUGUGUGCAUUUGGCCGGAAAACAAUCUGACAUUCCACCUUGAGAUGUUAUUUGAGAGUUGUUCCGUCCUUAAAUGUAAAGCAAGGAUUUAAAACAGUGUGAGAAAAGGUUAACAUUGUCGCCUAUGGGAAAUGUAUUGGUGGACUGUAUACCCCAUAUAUAUUGAGUACGUCUAUUGGUUCAUGGUGAUACAGGAAAACUUCAAGGUUCCUGCAGAUGGUGUUUAAAACUAUUGGCCAGUGAACACAAACCCAUUUAAUUAUAUUUUGAACCUUCACCAGGAGAAAAAAGAUGGCAGUACUUCUAAUGCAAGCAGCUACUAGGGAAGAUUUAAUGAAGGAAGAUGAGGAAGUGGAGAAAAAGCUGAAGAACAAGGAGGACAAGGUGAAGAAAGGACAAGGGCACAGUGACUUGCAGUGUGUGUCAUGUAACAUUAUUACAACAUCUAUAUCAUGGGUCCAUAAUUUUGAGUAAGUCAUUCAUCAACCACUUUAUCUGUACUGGAAACCAUUUCUGAGAGGGAUGAAGUGAUGGAAGAUAAUGAGCCAGAGGGUGGAACGGAAGAGAAAGGGAAAGAAAUAAAGAAAAAGGCAGAAUGAAAAAGGACUAGAACUUGCAAUAGAAGAAAAAUUUGAGGAAAUGAAGAGGAAGAAAUUGAAGAUGAAAAGAAGAGCUCUGGGAGGAAAAAAUUCCAUUUGUAAGAUGUGUGGACAAAAGAAAAACAGCCAUAGAGUGCCAAUGUGGAGUGGAAUAAGUCAGUAUGACUUAAACAUGGUCAAUUGAAGUGUUUAAAUGCCCCUCCAGAAAGCAGAACAAUCUUUGAAUUUGCAGGAAAGAGUAUAAAAUUUGCUGUUAAAAUAUCAUAACAGCUAGACAAAGAUUAAAUAACAACUACAUGUACAUCUAAAGAAUUCUUUUGUCAUAAUAGUGAUUCAUGUGCUAGUACAUGUGACAAGUGCUAUAACGACCUAAUAUAAGUGUGUUUUAGGAGCAUGUUGACUCUAUUGUAAAUGUAUUGACUCCUUAUAUGACCUCAUUUAUAUAUAACAUUAUAUGAAUGGUAGUGUAGUGACUUGAAAUGUGUGUUAGUAGUAUAGCUCGUUAUGUGUGGUAAUUUUGUUAUUUGUUUUACAUGUAUGAUAGUACAUAUAGUAUGGUGACUCAUGUGUUGGGAAUUAAUGUAUAAUUUUAUGUGUGUUACUGGUAUAACUCAUAAUGUGUGUAAAUAUUGUUUUUUGUAAUAUAUAUUAGUAGUGUAGUGACUCGACAUGUGUGUAAGUAGUGUAGUGACUCGACAUGUGUGUUAUGAGUGUAGCUUAUGAUGUGUGGUUAUUUUGUGUACGUAUGUAGUAUGGUGACUCAUGUGUUAGGAAUGUAUAAUUUUAUGUAUGUUACUGAUAUGCCUCAUCGUGUGAUUUAAAAUGGUUAUUUGUAAUGUAUAUAUUAGUAGUAAAGUGACUCGACAUGUGUGUUAGUAGUGUAGUGACUCGACAUGUGUGUUAGUAGUGUAGCUUAUUAUGUGUGGUAAUUUUGUUAUUUGUUAUGUGAGUUGUACAUGUAGUAUGGUGACUCAUGUGUUGGGAAUGUAUAAUUUUAUGUGUGUUACUUGUAUAACUCAUUGUGUGUGUUUUAAUAUAGUUAUUUGUAGUGUAUAUAUUAGUAUUGUAGUGACUCCACAAGUAUGUUAGUGUGUAGUGACAUGACAUGUGUGUUAGUAGUGUAGUGACUCGACAUGUGUGUUUGAAGUGUAGCUUAUUAUAUGUGGUAUUUUUGUUAUUUGUUAUGGUUGUUGUAUAUGUAGUACGGCAACUCAUGUGUUGGGAAAGUAUAUUUUAAUUUGAUGUGUGUUACUGGUAUAGCUCAUUGUGUGUUUUAAUAA
Molecule: long non-coding RNA, 2029 nt
Organism: Saccostrea echinata
Lineage: Eukaryota; Metazoa; Mollusca; Bivalvia; Ostreida; Ostreidae
Exons: 7
Source: RefSeq, a predicted model, not a curated record